RNAcentral lists this ribosomal RNA (222 nucleotides) under uncultured bacterium. RNAcentral's name for it is "partial 16S ribosomal RNA". It matches the Rfam family "Bacterial small subunit ribosomal RNA", at positions 335 to 548 of the family's 1533-position model. The record is from RNAcentral.
ACUCCUACGGGAGGCAGCAGUCGAGAAUCAUUCGCAAUGGGCGAAAGCCUGACGGUGUGACGCCGCGUGGAGGAUGAAGGCCCUCGGGUCGUAAACUCCUGUCAUCAGGGAGUAAGGUCUACGGUAGUAACUGAUCGUAGAAUUGAUAGUACCUGAAGAGGAAGAGACGGCUAACUCUGUGCCAGCAGCCGCGGUAAUACAGAGGUCUCAAGCGUUGUUCGG